CCACAGAAUUCACGGUCUAUCCAAGUGCUCGUGAUACUGUCUUCAAGAGCACACCUGGAUUGCAAAAGAAGCCGUGUGAAAGUUUAAAAAAAGUGGACUCAUAUAAAGUACUCCCCUGGCCAUAUAGUGAGUUAAACAAGCAAUCAACAACAGAAAGAUUGCAAGACCCUCAGUGUGAGGAUGGCCUUAGGCCUGAGUCUAAGCAACUCCAUUUUAAAAACUCCAGUUCAAAACCUGUAGUUUCACCAGGCACACCCACAGAUCCCUCCAGUGAAGCCUCAAACAAGUCACUUCCGCUCUCCCUGAUAACAGAGUGAAGCCCCUGGCAGGCUGUCCUCGCCUGAUAAGAGGGAAAGGCAAGAAGACCAGGGUGGAGACCGCCAACCAGACGUUUCUGACCCCACGGUAAAUGAUGUCACUGAGAAAUCCAGUGGAGGCUGAUAAGGAUUGAAAAGUCAGAAAGCCCCCAAAUUUAGUAUAAAUAAUAGAGCUGAUGAACAGGGAUUCAGCCAGCUGAAACAAGGAUGAGGACCUGACAUCACAUCACUUGCCAUCGUUCCUGAGCCUCUGCAUGAUCGUCACUGCUCUCAGACUCUACCGCCUGGUCUGGACCUUGGUGAGAGCCGAAACUUCUCCCUGUGACCCUCUCCUCAACUGGAAGUCCACUCUACGCCAGGAAAAGUUGGCCUUGGUUCCAGACCUGGUCACUGUGGUCUGAGUGAGUGCACAUCUGCUGGACUUAAAGCCUAAGGAGAUGCUUCUAUCUACGUGACUAUGUCAACGGUCUGGAAAUUAAAACCCAGAUUUGGCUUGUGACAGCUUUGCUUGAAGUUGGAGUUGGAGUGGCCAAGGUUUCUCAACAGCAGAUACAGAAUGAUGAGGGCAUUAUAUAGAGAAGCCUUUACAGUCCUCAAAGGCCCACAUAUGGAAGGCCUGGUCCCCAGCCUGGUGCUCGCAGAAGGUGUGGGACUUUCAGGGGAUGGGGCCUGGUGGGAAAAGGCCCUAAAGCAACACAUCCAUAAGCCAUGGACGGAACCUCCAAAGCCAGCAGCCACAGUGAACCUUUCCUUGUAAGUGGCUUACCUGAGCUCUUCUGCUGCCAACACGCUAGAGCAAGGUCAUUUCUUGAACUCCGGUUCAAUGUCAGGCAUCCUUUGCAGAGGUAUAGGAUGCUGUAAGAUGCACUGGGGUCCUGAGAAGAGAGCACGAGGAUUCCGAUCUAGGUGCUGAACUACCAGCUCAAAGGUGUUCCUGAACCCAAUUUUGUUGCUCCUGAGUGGUUCCUCCCUUGCUGGACACACUACAGACAGGUACGCAUGAAACUGGCAGAUUUAGACUGACCAGCUCUGUCGUACUGGUAAAAGCCCUGGGGCAUGCUCACUGAACCUCGACCGUCCUGGCUGCGCAGUAUCUCACUACUCUCCCAUGAAGAAGAGACCUGUGGUGCAAGGCCACGUCAGUGAACCUGCAAUGUCCCAGCCUUCGCCAAGGAACUAACCCUCCGCCCGGCCGUGCUGAUAGGGUGGCUGCCCCACCUGGCACUAGUUACGUCACUCUGCACCCAGGAGGGGUCACCAGCAAACUCCUCCCUACACCCUUGUGACCACCAAGCCUCCCCAGAAGCUGCCAUGCGUCCAGGCUGGGGGACAGCAGACAGGCCCUGCCCAGAGCAGCUGCUGUUCCUGUGCUGAAGACAGACUCCAGGCUGUCAUAAAACAGAGUAGAGAGGAAGCCCCAGAAAGCUGCCCAGGUGCUGGGGCCCGGCAGCAAUGCUAUAUGCUGUGACAGUGGCCUGCUGGACCAGAAACAAGGACUCAGCCACCUACCUGGCUUCCUCUGUGCUGGACAGCACUGGUCUAAAUAAAGCCACCUGGUCACAGCCACCCAGGGUUCCAUCUGCCUCCAGAAGAGGAGAUUCUGCAGCAAACCUCCUACCAGGGAUAUUGCCGGUGCCUCUGACACCUCAAAUCACACAGCAUUCCCACAGUACAUAAAAACUUCAGGUCUCACGGCUGGUGUACAGGGAGGUUAACAGAAAGGGACUGGUACUUGCUUGAUUUGGUUGAGGAUCAUUAUUUCAUUCUCUCUGCUUCUGUAGAUUUGAAAUUUCCUUACAAAAAGUUAUCUGUGUUAUUCUAAAAUGUAACCCCUCCCCACUAGGGACCUGGCCUUUCCCUUCCAAGGUCUUGUCUUUCUCUACGUUGGGGAGUCACGUUGGGUAACAGGGAGAUGAAUUUUGUAAAUAGCAAGGCCUGUGCUCCAGUGGGGGGCAACCAUCAGCCACAAACCACAGCCUGGGGAGGAGAUUCCCAAGCCCCUCCAAGCCCACUCACCCAGGCUAUUGGCUGUGUGUGGAGUGAGGGUCCUGGUCCUCUUCUACCACAGGGCAUUUGCACAGUGGGGGCUGGCAUCUCACUUCUCAUAGAACUGCACACACAGCAGAUCCUCUGAGAAUAAGCCACAGGCAGUGAUCUGCAGUGGCCUUGACCACCAUGGCCACAGGACCAGAUGUCACCUGCCCUGUGCCCCUCGGCGGCCCUGACCAUGGACCGGACAUCACCUGGAUCUGAGCACCUAGCGUGACAGAGACUGAAGCUUGUGCCAUUUCAUAUUCCUCACUUUCUCUAGUGACACUAGCCUUGUGAUCACCAGACGAUGACUGGGUUCCAAAGAGCAUCAAAAUUGUAGGUAAGACUUAGAGGGUUUGCCAAAUGUGGCCCCACAGGGUCCUAUAACCCAUGGCUGAGGACAAGCCCACAGCCACAGGACAGCAGGCCCUCGUGGUUCCUGCAGGCUUCAGUGUGACCGUGGCACACAACAGGCCCCGUGUCCCCCUCUCCAGGCAGCCUCACCAGGAGGCCCCUUCACAGAGGUCUCUCAUGUGGCUUUUCCUCCCCCUCCUACUUUUGCAGCCAGUGUGAUCUCUCAACAUAUGACCAACACACCCAUGGCCUAGUAACAAUGCCCUUAGAUUCAUGGCUCUCAGGGAAGCCUUCGACAGCUGGGAGAGUAGUUAAAGCAGGUUUCUACAUGACACAUCCAUAACUGGCUUUGCAUUGGAGCUAAUGGAAAACAGACUUUCUGUAAACUGGGAAAAUGAAUUGUGCGAUCCACACAUAGAAAACUA
Non-coding RNA from Ictidomys tridecemlineatus (thirteen-lined ground squirrel), 3127 nucleotides. The record is from RefSeq and is a predicted model, not a curated record. NCBI's taxonomy places the organism in Eukaryota, Metazoa, Chordata, Mammalia, Rodentia, Sciuridae.